This is a long non-coding RNA of Chroicocephalus ridibundus (black-headed gull), 325 nucleotides long. RefSeq lists it as uncharacterized. The record is from RefSeq and is a predicted model, not a curated record. The transcript is spliced from 3 exons. NCBI's taxonomy places the organism in Eukaryota, Metazoa, Chordata, Aves, Charadriiformes, Laridae.
UACAGCAGAACCAUUGCAUCGGAUCAGGUGUGCCAGUUCACCGGUGGCCUGAUUCCCAUGGUGGCCAGCUUCAGGCGUUUUCAUGAAGACCAAAGAAAUCCCACAGAAGACAGACACUAAAAUGAAGCUUAAAUAUGUCAUGAUGGAGUGUCGGCACCUCCCAAAGUAUAAAUGUAUAAUGGGCCUUCAAGAUUUUCGAGGAUUCCAGUUUGCUCUCACGAAGAAGAAUGAUGUCAUUUACUUGAGCUGUCUGAAGAAUUGACUGGAAAUUGACUGGAAAAUUUCUGCAUUCACAACCCUUUAUUCACUUCAGUCAAGCACCAAC